GGGCGUGUAGCUCAGUGGCAGUAGCAUCUGUCUUAUAAACAGAAGGUCCCAGGUUCGAUCCCUGGCACGCCCA
Molecule: transfer RNA, 73 nt
Filed under: Candidatus Curtissbacteria bacterium RIFCSPHIGHO2_01_FULL_39_57
Lineage: Bacteria; Candidatus Curtissiibacteriota
Also listed under: 4 other names
Description: tRNA-Ile
Rfam family: tRNA
About the family: Transfer RNA (tRNA) molecules are approximately 80 nucleotides in length. Their secondary structure includes four short double-helical elements and three loops (D, anti-codon, and T loops). Further hydrogen bonds mediate the characteristic L-shaped molecular structure. tRNAs have two regions of fundamental functional importance: the anti-codon, which is responsible for specific mRNA codon recognition, and the 3' end, to which the tRNAs corresponding amino acid is attached (by aminoacyl-tRNA synthetases). tRNAs cope with the degeneracy of the genetic code in two manners: having more than one tRNA (with a specific anti-codon) for a particular amino acid; and 'wobble' base-pairing, i.e. permitting non-standard base-pairing at the 3rd anti-codon position.
Source: RNAcentral